RNAcentral lists this ribosomal RNA (547 nucleotides) under Pseudoliva sepimentum. RNAcentral describes it as "Fulmentum sepimentum partial 12S ribosomal RNA". Lineage: Eukaryota; Metazoa; Mollusca; Gastropoda; Neogastropoda; Pseudolividae. The record is from RNAcentral.
AACCAAAUAGAUAAAGUUAUAUUUUAAUGGUAAAAAGAUAGUUAGACAUAAAUAUUAAGUUUAUAAAAUACUUAUAAAGAGGUAGAAUUUGAAUAUAAGUAUUUAGUUUUUUAAUGACUAAAAGGUUGAAUCUGUGAUAACUUUGAGGGAAACUGGGAUUAGAUACCCCAUUAUUCUUAGUUGUAAAUUAAGUAUACUUACCAGAGUACUAUGAAUUUAAAGAUUUGAAACUCAAAGGGCUUGGCGGUGUUUUAGACCAUUUAGGGGAACCUGUCUCAUAAUCGACAAUCCACGUUAGACCUAACUUUCAUUUGCUAAAUCAGUUUAUAUACCGUCGUCGUCAGGUAACUUUUUAAAAAAGAAUAGUUAGCAAUAAAAAUUAAAUUAAGUUGAUACGUCAGAUCAAGGUGUAGCUUAUGUGAGAGUGAAGAUGGGUUACAAUUAUAGAGUUAUAAUAACGAAUGGUAAAAUGAAAUUUUACUGAUGAAGGAGGACUUAAAAGUAAAGUAAAUUAUAUAAACAAUUUGAAUGUGGCUCUGAAACGUGU